This 404-nucleotide ribosomal RNA is filed under the name Acanthamoeba genotype T11. RNAcentral describes it as "SSU rRNA". It matches the Rfam family "Eukaryotic small subunit ribosomal RNA", at positions 798 to 1106 of the family's 1831-position model. Lineage: Eukaryota; Discosea; Longamoebia; Acanthamoebidae. The record is from RNAcentral.
UUCUGCCACCGAAUACAUUAGCAUGGGAUAAUGGAAUAGGACCCUGUCCUCCUWUUUUCAGUUGGUUUUGGCAGCGCGAGGACUAGGGUAAUGAUUAAUAGGGAUAGUUGGGGGCAUUAAUAUUUAAUUGUCAGAGGUGAAAUUCUUGGAUUUAUGAAAGAUUAACUUCUGCGAAAGCAUCUGCCAAGGAUGUUUUCAUUAAUCAAGAACGAAAGUUAGGGGAUCGAAGACGAUCAGAUACCGUCGUAGUCUUAACCAUAAACGAUGCCGACCAGCGAUUAGGAGACGUUGAAUACAAAACACCACCAUCGGCGCGGUCGUCCUUGGCGUUCGUGUUCACGCACGAGCGCGAGGGCGGCUUAGCCCGAUGGCACCGGUGAAUGACUCCCUAGASUCUKGUGAGA